AAUCUAUCCCUCCCCGACCCCCCCCAAUUCAUUGGAGACUAAAUUGGGUGCUUCUUUUUUUUUUUCGUUUUCAUUGCUCCUUUUCAAUGUUGUGAUGCAGACCUCGAUGCUUUGGAAGCUGACGUGGGCAUGGAGACAAAGGUGAUGGAGUGCCUGCAUAUCUUCAUCCUGAUCUGGAAGGCGGAGCUCAUCUUGCCACCAGCACCAACAGGGCAUGCAGCACCAGCAGUACCAGCUAGCAGAGUCAACCAGGAUACAAUGAUCGAACUUUGUAGAAGUAGCACUACCACUACAAGUUUGGCGAACCUUGCUAUGCAAAAUUUUCUUACAGAAAGGACAGUGUCAAAGGAAAGAAAUACAAGAUGAAUCGAUACUUAUGAAUGCAAUAAGGGUCUGCUUGUAUAGGAAAAUUGGUGACUUUUCGAAUGGUCGUAGUGACUUUCCGAUGAAGAGAGACAACUCUCUCAUUGAAUAAGUAGAAUAGAAUAGACAUGACUGUUUUUUCAAACAGAUUUGAAUUUUGUAUUGAAUCCGAUUCAAUUUUGAUCCAAAUAAAUAAAUUUGAUUUAAAUAGAAUUAA
Molecule: non-coding RNA, 580 nt
Organism: Camellia sinensis
Lineage: Eukaryota; Viridiplantae; Streptophyta; Magnoliopsida; Ericales; Theaceae
Source: RefSeq, a predicted model, not a curated record